UCAUUUCUUUUUUUUUUUUUUUUUUUUUUUUUUUUUUUUUUUUUUUUUUUUUUUUUUUUUUUUUUUUUUUUUUUUUUUUAAUGUACAAAUGUCAAAAGUGAAAAGUAAAAAAAGAAAGGAGCGAAACAGACAGACUGACAGAUGAAUAAAUUAACAAAUAAAUAAACAAAUAAACAAACGAACGAACGAAGCCGCGAAUUUUUCAAAAUGGCUGUAGUACGUCGACGCGAUCAAAAAAAUUCCAACUCCCUCAGAGAGAGAAGAAAAACCAAAAAAAAAAAAAAAGGAAAAGAAAAAAAAACAAGGAAGUCUUCUUAAUAUGACUGAUCUAUAUUCGAUAUAGAUCUAACAUUAAUUGGAGCUGGAUCAUAGUCGUGAUUUAAAAAUCCUAACUUGACCCUGCAACUGCCAUUGGUGCACAAAUGCAAAAGAAAAAAGAAACAAAAAGAAAAAAAAAAGAAAAAACAAGCAAAAAAGAAGGAGAACUCACCCCCACUCAUGCUCGCCGCAAGAAAGAAAAAAAAAAAAAGAAGAAAAAACUUGUACGAUUAAAAAUUAUUUUUUAACACGUCGGAUUAAAUCAGCGCGAUUUAAAUACAUUUUUUGCUAAUUUGAAAUCCGUAUGUAAUGCACGUAAUACACAUAUUUAUCUUUUUUUUUUUAUCCUUCUUUUCCUUCUUCUUCUUCUUCUUCUUUUUCUUCUUUUGCAAUGUGAUGUCACCUUAGAUUAUUAGAAAUUCAAAUGAGAUUGAAUAGUUCGUGUGUAGAAUUUUUUUCUCUUUUUUUUUUUAUUUUCUUCUACGGAAAUAUAUAUGCAAUAAAUUGUCCGACAGUUGUAGGAUCAAUUUGCAACUUACGCUAUGCAUGUGUGUGUGUGUGUGUGUGUAUAUAUGUGUGUGUGUGUGUGUGUAUGUGUAAGUAGAUUAAAACAAAUAAAAUUUGUCAUGGGUUUUUCUGAAAAAGAAUGUUGUAAUUUGUUGAAAGUGUCGAAUUAAACGUCACUUAUUUGUAUAAUUAUAUAUAAUAGGACACGAAUGAAAGAGAAUAGACCAAGUUGAAUUAUUAAAA
Vespa mandarinia (Asian giant hornet) is the source of this 1068-nucleotide long non-coding RNA. The record is from RefSeq and is a predicted model, not a curated record. Lineage: Eukaryota; Metazoa; Arthropoda; Insecta; Hymenoptera; Vespidae.